Molecule: long non-coding RNA, 339 nt
Filed under: Danio rerio (zebrafish)
Lineage: Eukaryota; Metazoa; Chordata; Actinopteri; Cypriniformes; Danionidae
Description: lncRNA si:ch211-173b9.6 (ENSDARG00000097045.2)
Source: RNAcentral
ACGCACUGGCCGUGCGUCCUGCUAAAACAUUGACGCGUCCGGAGGAUGAAGAUGAUGGAGCAAGUGCACAGCUGUUCACAUUUACAAGUUCUCUGCUUGCCCUUUUAAAGGAUUAGAAGAUGUCUGGCUCUUCGAUAAACUCAUGUGUAGGACUAUUUUCUCCAGGCGGAAGGACACGUAGAUUUCCAUACGCUUGAGAAUUCACCGUGUCGGUUUGUUACGGAGUUGCUGAUUGGUGGACGCGGACCUGCAAUAUUAUACACAGUGUUGAGGGGGGCUUUAUUGGCCGCCCUGGACCUGCAAUGCACCAGGCAACAGUGUUUGAGAAGAUAUCCUAAC